RNAcentral lists this long non-coding RNA (224 nucleotides) under Lathyrus oleraceus (garden pea). Its description in RNAcentral is "Pisum sativum (pea) long non-coding RNA (PSAT_LNC004797)". The record is from RNAcentral. Lineage: Eukaryota; Viridiplantae; Streptophyta; Magnoliopsida; Fabales; Fabaceae.
UUUAAAUGAUAUAGUAAGCAUAAAAAUAAAAAUAUGGAGAUAUGCAACUCCCAAGUAUCAAACUCAUCCCACUAAAGCAAGUGAAACUACUUUCUCUCCACUAGGCCACUUAUGGUCAUUUGUUAUCUUAAUAAUAAUUUGAAUAUGUAAACUAGAAUAGAUUAAAAUAAAAAUUAAAAUAAAAAACUAAAAUGAGGUGGUCUGUUAAUGGACAACCAAUUAAC